RNAcentral lists this transfer RNA (84 nucleotides) under Shigella flexneri. RNAcentral's name for it is "tRNA-Leu". It matches the Rfam family "tRNA". From Rfam's summary of the family: Transfer RNA (tRNA) molecules are approximately 80 nucleotides in length. Lineage: Bacteria; Pseudomonadati; Pseudomonadota; Gammaproteobacteria; Enterobacterales; Enterobacteriaceae. RNAcentral also lists the same sequence under 1 other name. The record is from RNAcentral.
GGUGGCGGAAUUGGUAGACGCGCUAGCCUCAGGUGUUAGUGUUCAUAAAGAGGUGGGGGAUCCAGUCCCCCCCACUAAGCACCA